GGGAUAACAGGCUGAUACCGCCCAAGAGUUCAUAUCGACGGCGGUGUUUGGCACCUCGAUGUCGGCUCAUCACAUCCUGGGGCUGAAGUAGGUCCCAAGGGUACGGCUGUUCGCCGUUUAAAGUGGUACGCGAGCUGGGUUUAGAACGUCGUGAGACAGUUCGGUCCCUAUCUGCCAUGGGCGUAGGAAAAUUGAGAGGGUUUGCUUCUAGUACGAGAGGACCGAAGUGAACGCACCGCUGGUGUUCGGGUUGUGAUGCCAAUUGCAUUGCCCGGUAGCUACGUGCGGAAUAGAUAAGUGCUGAAAGCAUCUAAGUACGAAACUAGCCUCGAGAUGAGUUUUCCCUGAUGAGAAUCAGUAAGGUCCGUUUGAGACUAAGACGUAGAUAGGUCAGGUGUGUAAGUGUAGUGAUACAUUGAGCUAACUGAUACUAAUGAACCGAGAGUCUUAACCUUACAACUC
RNAcentral lists this ribosomal RNA (462 nucleotides) under Gilliamella apicola. RNAcentral describes it as "bacterial LSU rRNA". It matches the Rfam family "Bacterial large subunit ribosomal RNA", at positions 2471 to 2925 of the family's 2925-position model. RNAcentral also lists the same sequence under 1 other name. The record is from RNAcentral. Lineage: Bacteria; Pseudomonadati; Pseudomonadota; Gammaproteobacteria; Orbales; Orbaceae.